GUGCAGUGAUGAAACAUUCUGCCAAAUGAUACGUUGUGAUAUCAACAUUUACCGUUCCAAAUUUUCGGAGCAC
This is a small nucleolar RNA of Liolophura sinensis, 73 nucleotides long. RefSeq annotates it as small nucleolar RNA SNORD47. Lineage: Eukaryota; Metazoa; Mollusca; Polyplacophora; Chitonida; Chitonidae. The record is from RefSeq and is a predicted model, not a curated record. The transcript has a single exon.